This 76-nucleotide transfer RNA is filed under the name Chromatiales bacterium. RNAcentral's name for it is "tRNA-Lys". It matches the Rfam family "tRNA". Rfam says of the family: Transfer RNA (tRNA) molecules are approximately 80 nucleotides in length. Lineage: Bacteria; Pseudomonadati; Pseudomonadota; Gammaproteobacteria; Chromatiales. RNAcentral also lists the same sequence under 1 other name. The record is from RNAcentral.
GGGCCGUUAGCUCAGUUGGUAGAGCAGCUGACUCUUAAUCAGUAGGUCCGGGGUUCGAGUCCCUGACGGCCCACCA